Molecule: long non-coding RNA, 396 nt
Filed under: Elaeis guineensis (African oil palm)
Lineage: Eukaryota; Viridiplantae; Streptophyta; Magnoliopsida; Arecales; Arecaceae
Description: long non-coding RNA (EGUI_LNC062247)
Source: RNAcentral
AGGUCUAAGGGACACUUAUACCUAUAUCCCAUCAGAGACAUUCUCGACAGCAGAAUGCUCUGGAGUUGGUCACGUUCAAUGAUGAUGUACCCUUACAUCUCACCUGUAUGCCAUACCAGUGUCUCCACACUCUUUGGUUAAGAGGACAACCAAUCCAUAUGGCCUACAGCGACCUAUGCUCGAUAGAAACUGUUGUCCUUAUUAACAGCUUAUCAUUUGGUCGUGAACAGUUUUAAGGACUAAUCGAUAAAUCCUCUCUUUAUCGAACUUAAAUAGUCCUAAGGACUUCAUCCUAACAACAGAGUUCAUUAGAAGAUGAAAGCUUAUGAUGAAGAUGCCAAAUAUAUUUUAUUUAUUAACAAAUCAAUUACAAUACUUGGUUGCCCAACCGUCAAC